GCGGAUAUGGCGGAAUUGGCAGACGCGCUAGAUUUAGGUUCUAGUGGGUAACCCCCGUGCAGGUUCAAGUCCUGUUAUCCGCA
RNAcentral lists this transfer RNA (83 nucleotides) under Lachnospiraceae bacterium. RNAcentral's name for it is "tRNA-Leu". It matches the Rfam family "tRNA". From Rfam's summary of the family: Transfer RNA (tRNA) molecules are approximately 80 nucleotides in length. Their secondary structure includes four short double-helical elements and three loops (D, anti-codon, and T loops). The record is from RNAcentral. Lineage: Bacteria; Bacillati; Bacillota; Clostridia; Lachnospirales; Lachnospiraceae.